This 536-nucleotide ribosomal RNA is filed under the name uncultured bacterium. Its description in RNAcentral is "bacterial SSU rRNA". It matches the Rfam family "Bacterial small subunit ribosomal RNA", at positions 771 to 1304 of the family's 1533-position model. The record is from RNAcentral.
ACCCAAUAGAUACCCAGGUAGUCCACGCCCUAAACGAUGCGAACUGGAUGUUGGUCUCAACUCGGAGAUCAGUGUCGAAAGCUAACGCGUUAAGUUCGCCGCCUGGGGAGUACGGUCGCAAGACUGAAACUCAAAGGAAUUGACGGGGGCCGCACAAGCGGUGGAGUAUGUGGUUUAAUUCGAUGCAACGCGAAGAACCUUACCUGGCCUUGACAUGUCCGGAAUCCUGCAGAGAUGCGGGAGUGCCUUCGGGAAUCGGAACACAGGUGCUGCAUGGCUGUCGUCAGCUCGUGUCGUGAGAUGUUGGGUUAAGUCCCGCAACGAGCGCAACCCUUGUCCUUAGUUGCCAGCGAGUAAUGUCGGGAACUCUAAGGAGACUGCCGGUGACAAACCGGAGGAAGGUGGGGUAUGACGUCAAGUCCUCAUGGCCCUUACGGCCAGGGCUACACACGUACUACAAUGGUCGGUACAGAGGGUUUGCAAUACCGCGAGGUGGAGCCAAUCCCAGAAACGCCGAUCCCAGUCCGGAUUGGAGU